GCCCCGAGGAUUGCUGCAGUGGCCACACUCUCCCCUCCCCGCCCGCUCCGUCUGUUCAAUGAAAACCCGCGCAAACGCAAGGUCUUUGCUCGAGCAAACUUGCCGACUAGCGAGGAAGGCGAGCUGCAAAGCCGCUGGAGUUUGAAUUAGGAACCCAGUGAAGUUUGAAAAUAAUCUUUGGAGGGUCGUAUUUAGAAAAGCAGGACAGCUGCAAAUCACAGUUAAAGCUAGAGCAGGUGUCAUGGCCCGGCCCCAGGCUACCUUCUCCUUAACUUACAACGGGCUCAGUCCUAGAUGGAUUGAGCUCCUCUGGACCAGGAUAUUCAGCCCUGCCUGAGACUUUCAGAGCUGUUUUUCCUAUGUUCCAGCACAAAUUCAGCAUGGAGGUACAACUGGGAUGCUGUGGCAAGAAGUCCAUGAUCCUGGGAGGCAGCAGCGAUGAUAUCGGAAUAUGGGGUGCCAGACGUUAUCACCGUGAGCUUGUUAAUAAAUGCCUAAUAUUGAUGAGCCUGGAAGCUGAACAAAGAGGACUAAAACCUGGGCAUUGAGCUGGAGCGGAAGAGAAGUUUUUUUGUUGGUCCUGAGGUCUGUGUCCAUAUUCUGUGUUAUGCAUCAAUCCAAUGUUUAAGACACUUCCUUUCCCAUGGAUUCUCAUUCAUCCACACAGCUUAAAAUGAGUUGUGCUUCUUGUAACUCCUUUUGCCAUUUUCUUAUUUCUGCACAUACGCCUCUGCUUCUAUUUCUCUCAUGAGACCGCUCUUACCACACGUUUUGUUAGGCUCAUCUCUGUUCUGUGUCUCUUACUCUUUGGAAAGCAUCUUGAGUUCACACCCGAACCUUGCUCAUCCUUCACAUCCAAAAAUCCUUAAGAAAUACUCGUGAC
RNAcentral lists this long non-coding RNA (883 nucleotides) under Oryctolagus cuniculus (rabbit). RNAcentral describes it as "lncRNA (ENSOCUG00000037646.1)". The record is from RNAcentral. Lineage: Eukaryota; Metazoa; Chordata; Mammalia; Lagomorpha; Leporidae.